Molecule: ribosomal RNA, 253 nt
Filed under: uncultured bacterium
Lineage: Bacteria
Description: partial 16S ribosomal RNA
Rfam family: Bacterial small subunit ribosomal RNA
Source: RNAcentral
UACGAAGGGGGCUAGCGUUGUUCGGAAUUACUGGGCGUAAAGCGCACGUAGGCGGACAUUUAAGUCAGGGGUGAAAUCCCGGGGCUCAACCCCGGAACGGCCUUUGAUACUGGGUGUCUUGAGUUCGGAAGAGGUGAGUGGAAUUGCGAGUGUAGAGGUGAAAUUCGUAGAUAUUCGGAGGAACACCAGUGGCGAAGGCGGCUCACUGGUCCAUUACUGACGCUGAGGUGCGAAAGCGUGGGGAGCAAACAGG